AAGUCGUAACAAGGUUUCCGUAGGUGAACCUGCGGAAGGAUCAUCACUAAACUUGGUCGCCUCGGUCUAAAUUGACCUGAGUGCGUACCAUAAAAACAACUCUUGUGAACUUGUAAGCUGCUUUUUAUAUAGUUACUUGGUGGUUAUUGUUUUAGGACAAUUGAUCUAGACACCUUGGGUGUCGUAGUUCAUAUAUAUAUGGACGGGUGCCACCAGUAUCUAUAUAUAUUCAACACACUUUUGCAUAAAUUUAAAGCUGAAAAAUUUAUUUUACAAAAAUAUAAACACAACUUUUAACAA
This 300-nucleotide unclassified non-coding RNA is filed under the name Phylloporus sp. RNAcentral describes it as "partial contains small subunit ribosomal RNA and internal transcribed spacer 1". The stretch from base 1 to 46 matches the Rfam family "Eukaryotic small subunit ribosomal RNA", at positions 1786 to 1831 of the family's 1831-position model. The record is from RNAcentral. Lineage: Eukaryota; Fungi; Basidiomycota; Agaricomycetes; Boletales; Boletaceae.